Long non-coding RNA from Etheostoma cragini (Arkansas darter), 237 nucleotides. RefSeq lists it as uncharacterized. The transcript is spliced from 3 exons. The record is from RefSeq and is a predicted model, not a curated record. Lineage: Eukaryota; Metazoa; Chordata; Actinopteri; Perciformes; Percidae.
AAGACAACCAGUCUGGAUUCAUCAUUUCACAUAGAGCACCCUGCAGGGGCCCGACUUACUGGACAGCAUCCCUGACAGCAGGGGUGGCGGAUUUACCACGAAAUAGAAGUCAUUUCCUAUAUUUUCUUCUAGCAACAAGAGACGCAAAUGCAUACACACUUAUAAAUGAUGGGUUGUUAUCACUUUAGCAAGAGGUCAGACGUGGGUGUUACUUCAUCUCACUUGUUGAGGAGGUUG